RNAcentral lists this ribosomal RNA (402 nucleotides) under bacterium. Its description in RNAcentral is "partial 16S ribosomal RNA". It matches the Rfam family "Bacterial small subunit ribosomal RNA", at positions 355 to 776 of the family's 1533-position model. The record is from RNAcentral.
UGGGGAAUAUUGCACAAUGGAGGGAACUCUGAUGCAGCGACGCCGCGUGAACGAAGAAGGCUUUCGAGUCGUAAAGUUCUUUUAUAUGGGAAGAUAAUGACGGUACCAUAAGAAGAAGCCCCGGCUAACUACGUGCCAGCAGCCGCGGUAAUACGUAGGGGGCUAGCGUUGUCCGGAAUCACUGGGCGUAAAGGGUUCGCAGGCGGAAAUGCAGUCAGGUGUAAAAGGCAGUAGCUUAACUACUGUAAGCAUUUGAAACUGCAUAUCUUGAGAAGAGUAGAGGUAAGUGGAAUUUUUAGUGUAGCGGUGAAAUGCGUAGAUAUUAAAAAGAAUACCGGUGGCGAAGGCGACUUACUGGGCUCAUUCUGACGCUGAGGAACGAAAGCGUGGGUAGCAAACAGG